This 330-nucleotide ribosomal RNA is filed under the name uncultured bacterium. Its description in RNAcentral is "bacterial SSU rRNA". It matches the Rfam family "Bacterial small subunit ribosomal RNA", at positions 568 to 898 of the family's 1533-position model. The record is from RNAcentral.
CGCGUAGGUGGCUUUGUGUAUCCUUAUUAAAAGGCUACUGCUCAACAGUAGUUUUGAUGAGGAGAUUGCAUUGCUAGAAAAAAUCAGAGGCAAGCGGAACUUGUGGUGGAGGAGUAAAAUCCGUUGAUCUCACAAGGAACACCAAUGGCGAAGGCAGCUUGCUGGGAUUUUUUGACACUGAGGCGCGAAAGCGUGGGUAGCGAACGGGAUUAGAUACCCCGGUAGUCCACGCCGUAAACGAUGCAGACUGGAUGUUGGAGGCAUCGACCCCCCAGCAUCGAAGCUAACGCGUUAAGUCUGCCGCCUGGGGAGUACGGCCGCAAGGCUAAA